RNAcentral lists this ribosomal RNA (726 nucleotides) under uncultured bacterium. RNAcentral describes it as "bacterial SSU rRNA". It matches the Rfam family "Bacterial small subunit ribosomal RNA", at positions 789 to 1515 of the family's 1533-position model. The record is from RNAcentral.
GGUAGUCCACGCCGUAAACGAUGUCGACUUGGAGGUUAAGCCCUUGAGGCGUGGCUUCCGGAGCUAACGCGUUAAGUCGACCGCCUGGGGAGUACGGCCGCAAGGUUAAAACUCAAAUGAAUUGACGGGGGCCCGCACAAGCGGUGGAGCAUGUGGUUUAAUUCGAUGCAACGCGAAGAACCUUACCUACUCUUGACAUCCAGAGAACUUAGCAGAGAUGCUUUGGUGCCUUCGGGAACUCUGAGACAGGUGCUGCAUGGCUGUCGUCAGCUCGUGUUGUGAAAUGUUGGGUUAAGUCCCGCAACGAGCGCAACCCUUAUCCUUUGUUGCCAGCGGUUAGGCCGGGAACUCAAAGGAGACUGCCAGUGAUAAACUGGAGGAAGGUGGGGAUGACGUCAAGUCAUCAUGGCCCUUACGAGUAGGGCUACACACGUGCUACAAUGGCGCAUACAAAGAGAAGCGACCUCGCGAGAGCAAGCGGACCUCAUAAAGUGCGUCGUAGUCCGGAUUGGAGUCUGCAACUCGACUCCAUGAAGUCGGAAUCGCUAGUAAUCGUAGAUCAGAAUGCUACGGUGAAUACGUUCCCGGGCCUUGUACACACCGCCCGUCACACCAUGGGAGUGGGUUGCAAAAGAAGUAGGUAGCUUAACCUUCGGGAGGGCGCUUACCACUUUGUGAUUCAUGACUGGGGUGAAGUCGUAACAAGGUAACCGUAGGGGAACCUGC